AUUGAACGCUGGCGGCAGGCCUAACACAUGCAAGUCGAACGGUAACAGGAAGAAGCUUGCUUCUUUGCUGACGAGUGGCGGACGGGUGAGUAAUGUCUGGGAAACUGCCUGAUGGAGGGGGAUAACUACUGGAAACGGUAGCUACUACCGCAUAACGUCGCAAGACCAAAGAGGGGGACCUUCGGGCCUCUUGCCGUCGGAUGUGCCCAGGUGGGAUGAGCUAGUAGGUGGGGUAACCGCUCACCUAGGCGACGAUCCCUAGCUGGUCUGAGAGGAUGAUCAGCCACACUGGAACUGAGACACGGUCCAGACUCCUACGGGAGGCAGCAGUGGGGAAUAUUGGACAAUGGGCGCAAGCCUGAUGCAGCCAUGCCGAGUGUGUGAAGAAGGCCUUCGGGUUGUAAAGUACUUUCAGCGGGGAGGAAGGGAGUAAGGUUAAUACCUUGGCUCAUUGACGUUACCGGCAGAAGAAGCACCGGCUAACUCCGUG
RNAcentral lists this ribosomal RNA (490 nucleotides) under uncultured bacterium. RNAcentral's name for it is "partial 16S ribosomal RNA". It matches the Rfam family "Bacterial small subunit ribosomal RNA", at positions 30 to 507 of the family's 1533-position model. The record is from RNAcentral.